GUGUUAGGGAAGGAAAAAAAGCACACCGUGAGCACGAAAGCGCGAGACGUAGCAGCCAAAGGCUUCGUAUUGUAGGCUAAGUGAAAUCUUUGGUUGAACGUAGAGAGAGAGAAUGGAAGCGGAGCCCAUAGGCGUAAGUUGAGUUUAGAUGUGCAUAGGAAGUGCAAAUUCUCAUGCGGAGACUACGGAGGGAUGAUAAAGC
Molecule: unclassified non-coding RNA, 202 nt
Filed under: Hevea brasiliensis (rubber tree)
Lineage: Eukaryota; Viridiplantae; Streptophyta; Magnoliopsida; Malpighiales; Euphorbiaceae
Source: RNAcentral